RNAcentral lists this long non-coding RNA (1002 nucleotides) under Gossypium barbadense (sea-island cotton). Its description in RNAcentral is "long non-coding RNA (GBAR_LNC009516)". The record is from RNAcentral. Lineage: Eukaryota; Viridiplantae; Streptophyta; Magnoliopsida; Malvales; Malvaceae.
GAAAUUUGAAUGCCUUUAUUUUCAAGUUACAUGCUUAAAAAAAUAAAUGGUUUCACUGCAUUUCUCUAUUUUUUUUUUCCAUUUUAAUAUGUCUCAUAAAUGUAAUUGUACCCGUAUCACACAUUUUUCAUUUUUUUUAAUUUAUAUUGUUAUUUUUUUAAUAAAAGGUCAUUUAAACUUUUUUUUUUAUAUUUCCUUUCUUGAGUUCUUCAAAAUUCUUUAUAUUCAGUUUUUGUUUGUGUUUAGUUUUUCUUUUCUAAGUUUUUCAUUUCAUUGAUGGUGGCACUAGUAAGCUAAUAACACAAUAAUCACCUAUGAAGCAACUAUCGGUUGUUGUAGGCCAAUUUUGGCCCGUUUACAAAAUACACUGGCCCAUUAAACCAUUUAACCCAUCCUCAAACCCAAAACCUAAAAUUAACCUAGCCCAACAUUCAAGCCCAAUCCCAAAACCCUAAACUCCCACUUGCCUCUUCCCACUUUCCCAUGCUGUCUGCCACCAGCACCACUCCCACUCUCCCAUGCUGUCUGCCACCAGCACCAUCACACACCCCACCGUCCAAGCCCAUGCCCUGAAAACAAGCAAAACAGAAGCAAGAAUAGAAAAUAAUAAUAAAGUAUGUAAAAAUUAGGCCAUAUAAAAGCCAUCCAAACAACAAACGAAAAAGGAGGAGGAUGUACAAAAAGUUUGUAUCAAAAACAAAAGAAAAAAGAAAAGCUUAGAAGGUGAACUUCAAUUUUUUUCCUCUAUUAUCUCAAUCUUUCUGUUUAUCUUUACUUUGUUUUAUUUUUUUUCAUUAACUUACUUUAAAACGAAAAAGAAUCAAGGAAGAAAAGAGUCUUACCGGAUCUACCCCGUGGCCGCUCCCCUCUCCGUUCGGCACGGUGAACCGCCAGCGAUGAUGGGUGUUGAAACCUUAACUGAAGAAAGGAGGAAGAGAUAAAAAGGGGGGUUUGAGAGCAGUUUUUCAGAAAAAAAAUAUAUAAAAGUUAAAUGGUUUUAAA